This 777-nucleotide ribosomal RNA is filed under the name uncultured Neocallimastigales. Its description in RNAcentral is "partial large subunit ribosomal RNA". It matches the Rfam family "Eukaryotic large subunit ribosomal RNA", at positions 20 to 625 of the family's 3401-position model. Lineage: Eukaryota; Fungi; Neocallimastigomycota; Neocallimastigomycetes; Neocallimastigales. The record is from RNAcentral.
AUCAGACGAUGCGUCAUGCAUAUCAAUAAGCGGAGGAAAAGAAACUAACUAGGAUUCCCUCAGUAACGGCGAGUGAAGCGGGAAGAGCUCAAAUUUGAAAUCUUCAAGGUUCUACCUUGACGAAUUGUAGUUUAAAGAAGUGUUUUCUGUUGGAGUUUUGGUAAAAGUUCUUUGGAAUAGGACAUCAUAGAGGGUGAGAAUCCCGUAUUUGACCAUUAUUUCCAGCUUUGUGAUACACUUUCAAAGAGUCGGAUUGUUUGGGAAUGCAGUCCAAAAUGGGUGGUAAAUUUCAUCUAAAGCUAAAUAUUGGCGAGAGACCGAUAGCGAACAAGUACCGUGAGGGAAAGAUGAAAAGAACUUUGAAAAGAGAGUUAAACAGUACGUGAAAUUGUCAAAAGGGAAGCGUUUGACACCAGUGUUGUUUUCUCGAAAAUCAAUUAAAAAAGGCAGGAUUUUGUGUUGUAUUGACUUUAUCAGCUUUCUGCACUCUUUUCUUGUCUUUUUUUAAUGCACUUUUCGUUUAACAAGUCAACAGUCAAUUUCUUUUGUUGUAAAAGGGUCAUUGGAAGGUGGCUUUCUUUUCGGAGAAAGUGUUUAUAGCCUUUGGCCUCUGCAAUCGGAGAGAUUGAGGUCUGCAGCGUAGAUCCUUCGGGGUUAGAUACAUUUGUGCUAAGUUAUAGCCUUUCAUAGACAACUUGUUGACUAUGAUCAGUCAUGUAGCUUACUCGCUUAUGCUAUUUUACCUACGCUUAGGAUGUUGAUCUACAGAGCGAGAGU